GAUGAAGAGAGAGGAUGUGAGGACAGAGGAAGGACAAAGAGCUCAGAUUUACAGCGAGCACCCUGGAGGCUGCUGGCCUGUCUGCAGCAGCACAGUGCAGGAAGGGGAUCAAUAUCUUACCGGGCUAAUGCAACACAACAGCAGAGUGGAUGUCACAGUGACAAUUCUUAACAGUUUUACCAUGCCUACAUUCAUUCAAACACAAGAGCAGUGACAGUGGCAAUGCACAACAAACAUAUCUUUUGGUUUCCAUGUAGUGGACUCAAAAUAAUUGAAGAAUUCCUCUUGUUUUGUUGUUGCCAUUAAUACGUUUUUUAUUUGUCAUUUUAGGAGCUUUAUUUCUAGUCCUUUUCCCAUUACCUUCACAACUUGAUAAUUAUACCUCUCUUCAACACCAUUGCACCAGAUAAUCCAUGACAGUAUAAAGCUCUUCAUUCUCCAGAAUUCUCUAGAAACCAGCUUUUAAAUGACUAUAUGAUGAGUUCAUACUGAGCUGUCAUCACAACAAAAGAUAAUAUGGAGAUCGGUCACCCAGUUCCUCAAGUGGACUGAGUAAUAGAUAAAUACCCUAUACUUUUUAUGUAUUUACUCGUUGGAUAAAUGGUGGUUCAAAUGUAAGUGAUACCACUGUGAACACUAGAGUGUGGUGUUACAGUGGUUUUUGUUGUGUUUGACAUUAUUAGAUGUCAAUUAGACCAUAAAGAUGUAAAUAUAUUAUUCUUGAUAAAGCGAUUUGGAACAUUUAUUUAUACACUAAACUGAUCAGAUUAAAAUUGCGUACUGUUUUUGGUGCAUGGUCUUACCAGGUGCAGCAGUGAACAUUAGCUCCCUCUAGAGGCUGACAGCAGAACAGCAGGCAGCACGGAGGCAGAGGAGAGAACUGCAGCAGCUCUUCAUUUAUUCUCAGUCAGAAGUGUGCCUGCCAAGUCUCCGGAGAAAUGUCUCAAUGCUGCUGCAUACCAUGGAUGCAUGCAGGGAAACUGACCCUCCAGGGCUCUAACAGGCGCAGAAACAUCAGAUCCAGCCGGCAGAUGCGAGUGACACCGAGCAAUCCGUGAGAGGAGGGUAAUUGGAGAUCUCUGGGCUUAUUCUGAGCAUGCAGGGAAACACACCGAUCGAGUCCUGAAGAAGGAACACGAGUGGAGCUGCUGAGUCUCUGUGCAACACCAAUGGUGAUAGGGGCUCUGCAAAGCGCUGUGGGUAAUAUGGGGAAACAUCCAGUCAGGACGCCGGUGGUGCUGUUUGCAGCCUUUAUUUGGACACAGCAGGGUCUCGGGGGGCUGCAGAGGAGAGAGGGGCAGAGGGAGGGAAACGUGACACUAAAAUAACAACUACAGAGUGGUAAACAUGUCACUGUUGUGUACAUAUUUGAGCAAGGUGUAGCUUCAACGGUGAUAAAAUUGUAAUGCACUCUUCAGUCUGCAUGUUACGUAAGCUGUACUGUUUUUGAGUCAGACAUGACAGGUGACACCAGACGAGACAUGGAAGACAAGGCAAUACAAAAGAAGGGGCACAGAGGAAAGCCUGAGGAGGAAUUAAAGAAGAGGAAGUAAAGAUACAGGGUAAUGAUGGUGGUCAUUAUAGGAUAGUUAGACCUCACUCUGGAGUUAUUUGCAUUACACUCAGUUUUUAUACACAUGAGCACAUGCACUAACAGGACCACAUGCAAUGUAGGGGAGAGGUGGCAGAGCGAAAGGGCUGCCAUUCAUGAACUACCAGUCCACCAGUUGUAUUUUGGUCCGGUCAGGAGGAGCCUAGUCCAUACAGACUGAGCUACAGUACUGCCGCCCAAAACAUUACAUUUUUAAAGAGGUUUUAGGAGUAGCUUGUUAAAUGUUUUAAGAUUUUUUACAAGGACAUAAGGUUAUCUAGGGAACUGUUUUCAAGGCUUUACAUUUAAUGUAAUUAAAGGCUUAGUAUUUUACUUUUUUAAAUAAAUACAAACGUAAUCGCACACCCGAAAAUAUAAAUUAAGUAACAAAAACAACAGAAGUUAUACAUGCAGAAAUACUGUACACACACCUAAAGGGGCAGCGUGUAUCACAAAGGGUAGAAUAUGUUUGUUUUUUUGCCAUAUUAAUUUCAAUUACAACCAAUAAUCACUUUACAAAUCAAUGCACCUAACACACACACACCCUGAGGGAUGGACACAUCCUCUGGUUGUGAAUAGAGGGACUAAUUUGUUGAGCAACCGUGAACUCCCUUUGAAAGGAGAGGGGACUUUUCGCAUAGGCGGAAGAUUACAUCUCCUUAGAAGUGUUUGCUGACAAAGACCCUUUAAUAUGAUGACACGAACAUGUAAUCCAUCUCGGAUCACUGGUGGGAUAUUUAUGAGCCUCUGUUGACAGCAGUACACCUGCUCUUCCUUAGGCCAGACCUGGGAACUCUGCCCGUCUGAACUAGCACCGCUGCUGCCAAAAGCACCGCCAGAUUGGGGGAUGUGUGAGUCUGUAAAGAAAGGGGGAGAGUGUGUGUUUGUAGCACACAGACAGAGACAGGAGGAGAGACUAAUGUGUGUAUGUAAGGGGGAGUUUGGAUAGGUGGAAGUAAGUCUAUCUUUAAUUAUUUCCAAGUGCUACUGUAUAAGAGCGGGAUUAGGGAAAGUCAUUUGUUACUCCAUCAUUCACCAUAUACAAUCCCUUCCACACUGAGGGAGAAAUGGAUAUUGUGCAAAGCAUAGUUGGCAGAACAAGAGCCUGCUGAAAGACAAAAGUGUACAUGUUGGCAUUCAAUGGUGCGCUCUGUUGCAUUAAUGGGAGAAAGAAAUGAGUUUUUUUCAGAGGUUUAAAAGGCAUUCAGCAAAGGUAUUUGUAUUUGGAAUCAGAGAGAAUAUCCGUUUUUAUAAUUAUGCAGCCAUUCAUUAACAAAUUGAUCAAAUUGUACAGUGAAAACUUCAAUCGAGACACAAUGUGUGUGAUUUUCUUAAAAGAACAAUGUUUAAACGUAUUCCAAUCCUCCCAAUACUCACUUACGACCCACUAGAGGCGUGCGUCUGUAACUGCAUGACCCCUUCACCUAUUUCUCUCUUGGGAACUUUUCUGGCCGUCAACCUCUAAACCAUCGCGACCAGGUGCCAGAUUAUAAGCGUGCAUCGGAUAGUAAGCUUUGACAACGGUGCAAGAAACACAUAUAAAGCGAGGCGAUGUCACAUUAAACGCUAAGCACACAAAGAUGGUUCCAAAACAGACGUGAGUGAAUAUCGGGUUUGGCUUUCGCUCGCUGGAGAGCUCCACCCCCCCGCUGAGCCGAGAGGACGAGCCAACUCUAAAUGUGUGUUUACAAAAUCUACUCCGUGUCCCCUUAAAGCUCUCAUCAGCAUUGGUUUUCUUUCAGCUGUGGCAUUGUGUAAGAAACACAAGGAAUACACAUGAAUGCACAUUUCAUAUACUUAGAUAAAC
Molecule: long non-coding RNA, 3398 nt
Organism: Eleginops maclovinus (Patagonian blennie)
Lineage: Eukaryota; Metazoa; Chordata; Actinopteri; Perciformes; Eleginopidae
Exons: 3
Source: RefSeq, a predicted model, not a curated record